This 464-nucleotide ribosomal RNA is filed under the name uncultured bacterium. RNAcentral describes it as "bacterial SSU rRNA". It matches the Rfam family "Bacterial small subunit ribosomal RNA", at positions 338 to 795 of the family's 1533-position model. The record is from RNAcentral.
CCUACGGGCGGCACCAGUGGGGAAUAUUGCACAACGGGCGCAAGCCUGAUGCAGCCAUGCCGCGUGUAUGAAGAAGGCCUUAGGGUUGUAAAGUACUUUCAGUUGGGUGGAAGGCGUUGAUGCUAAUAUCAUCAACGAUUGACGUUACCAACAGAAGAAGCACCGGCUAACUCCGUGCCAGCAGCCGCGGUAAUACGGAGGGUGCAAGCGUAAUCGGAAUUACUGGGCGUAAAGCGCACGCAGGCGGUUGAUUAAGUUAGAUGUGAAAUCCCCGGGCUUAACCUGGGAAUGGCAUCUAAGACUGGUCAGCUAGAGUCUUGUAGAGGGGGGUAGAAUUCCAUGUGUAGCGGUGAAAUGCGUAGAGAUGUGGAGGAAUACCGGUGGCGAAGGCGGCCCCCUGGACAAAGACUGACGCUCAGGUGCGAAAGCGUGGGGAGCAAACAGGAUUAGAUACCCGGGUAGUC